Long non-coding RNA from Planococcus citri (citrus mealybug), 1524 nucleotides. RefSeq lists it as uncharacterized. Lineage: Eukaryota; Metazoa; Arthropoda; Insecta; Hemiptera; Pseudococcidae. The record is from RefSeq and is a predicted model, not a curated record. The transcript is spliced from 2 exons.
UCCAAACUGCGUUUUUCUUUUUUUUCAUGAGUUUUUUUUUUGAAAUUUCAUUGUGCUUUCAAAAUCAUAAUUGCGUUCUGCUUUCAAAAUCCUAAUCGUUUUUUUUCAAAUUUGCGUUGCUUUUUUUUUGAAAAUCGCAGCUGUCUAGUUUUUUUUUGAAUUUAACAAGUCAAUUGAAAUUUUGAAAGUUUCUGAAUAGGACAUAUGGUGGGUAAAUUGGAAAUGAAUCUAUAAAAUCUUGUUCGCCAAUUGAAUUGGAACUACUCUGAUGUUAUCACAUCCAAUCUUUCUCCCCUAUGAGGUCUUCCAAAAAAUCUACUUGUUAAAUAGUAGGAACGUGAAGGGAAAGUUUGGCAGACCAUUUUUUCCUCAAGCAGAAAAACAUCCCCGUAAAUUUUCAAAUGUUUUUUGAAGUUCACCGUUUGACGGAACAAAAACAAAACAAAAUAUGCAAAUAAAAUGUAUCGUAAAUUUCUCUAGGCGGUGAAUACACCAGCUGAAUUUGACAAAACUAGAGUAUCGCGGUUAACAAAAAACCAAAUUUUCAUUUCAUUUGAUGAAGAAGCAAACCGCAGAUGAAAACUAUGAUCAUGGAAUUCAACGUAUCGUACAAAGUUGUGCUUUUCUUCGCAGCAAUUAUGCUGAUUGGUUCCUCACCUGGAUAUGCUUCAAAUUCCUUAUAUACACUUACGACAGCAACCUACGUCCCAGACUCUCUGAAUGAUCACCCCAACUAUAAACCUCCACCACAUUCAGAGUCGCAAAGAAUUCUUUCCCCUGGAACUCAAAAUUAUGAAGGAAGCACAGAAUGUGUUCCAAUACGUCCGAGUGUCAUAAUAAAUACGUUACCAGAAAUUCUAUCAUUUGAUAUAUUCUCGCAAGCUGAUCCUUUCAAUUACUUUCUCGUUAAAACAAAGAAAUUAUCUGAUGAUAAAGUUCGAAGUAUUCAGUAUCAAGUGGUUUUUGCGUUAGAUUGGAAAAAACUUCCUCAAUGCUACACACCAUUCGCUAAAUUACUAUCAUCGUUCUUACGAUGUUGGGUCUUUCUUUUAGAUGCAAAACCAUUCAUCAAAGAAAUUAAAAUUCAGCGUUCUACGAACAUCACCAAUGGUUUCAAUUCUCUACCUAAUGACGUCUCUUCAUCGUCCGAAUUAUCUGAGCUGUUUUCUUCCAAUAUUUUUUCCGAUCCUGAACCACCUAUUCGGCUGUUUACCAAGAUAUUGGAUAUGCAAGAGAGAACGGUGGUCAACUCGAAGAACCAGUUACAAAAUUUCGUACAGAAGUGGGCGGAUGAGAGAAUAAUUCCAUUUCCUCGGGUAUACAUCUCCUAUGCUGAUGCUGUUUUUAGAUUUUUGCAUACUGAAUCCGCCAUUAAAAAUUUGAAACUAGAUUUGGACGAAAUUAAACGUAUAGGUAUUAAAUAAUUUAACUCGACAUUGUAAUUGUAAUGUUUUGGUUGAAUGGUGUAGGUACCUAUCUUCCAAUAUAUAGUUCCAUAGAAAUAUAAUGUGAAAGUAUACUUGA